This 684-nucleotide long non-coding RNA is filed under the name Mus pahari (shrew mouse). RNAcentral's name for it is "predicted gene 20395 (MGP_PahariEiJ_G0002245.1)". Lineage: Eukaryota; Metazoa; Chordata; Mammalia; Rodentia; Muridae. The record is from RNAcentral.
ACAGAUAGGGAAACACACCAGCAGGGGCACGGAGCUUGCAGUCAGAAAGACUUCCGGGAAGACAGACUGGGGACUGGUCCAAGUUCCACCUGCAUGCUUUGGGAAGGACCACAGAGGACUGGGGGUGGUGGUGGCAGGAAAACUCUCACCUGAAAACUUCCCCACCGAUGUCUCAUUUAUCUCUUUUAAAAAAAAAAUUACAAAUGCAAAGAAGCACAACUUGGGAAAAUGCCACAGAGCCUGGAAAAUGCCAACCUCCAAGUCCUCAAACAACAGCCAGCUCAUCCCGGAAGAGGGCAUGGCUGUGCACAUGUGCACGUGCACACACAUAGGCACACAUGGAUACAGGCCGGGCUUUCAAAGUGGACAAAGAGAUGUUUGGGCGUUGCCAUGGUCAUUAACCUGCUUGUCAGCAAGUGCUCAUUGCAUUCCCAAGAUACAAGUGAACACUAAAGAGGAAAAGAAUAACCCAGAAUAAAACAGACUAAAGAGGGCGGGGGUAGCAGUUGUUGCAAAGUUCAGGCAAGCAGGCAGUGUUCCAGGAAUGGGUUGUUGCCUUGGAGAACCAUUAUAACAUGGAUCCAGCUCACAAGAGACUCGUGUGCUUAAAGACCUUUAAAGGCUCUCAUGCGGCUGUAUCCUUGACUGGCUGCAGAGCAGCCGUACCAAUCAGAUUCCUGCAUG